CGCCAGACUCCUACGGGAGGCAGCAGUGGGGAAUAUUGGGCAAUGGGCGCAAGCCUGACCCAGCAACGCCGCGUGAAGGAAGAAGGCUUUCGGGUUGUAAACUUCUUUUGACAGGGAAGAGCAGAAGACGGUACCUGUCGAAUAAGCCACGGCUAACUACGUGCCAGCAGCCGCGGUAAUACGUAGGUGGCAAGCGUUGUCCGGAUUUACUGGGUGUAAAGGGCGUGCAGCCGGGCCGACAAGUCAGAUGUGAAACCCGCGGGCUUAACCCGCGAACUGCAUUUGAAACUAUUGGUCUUGAGUACCGGAGAGGUCAUCGGAAUUCCUUGUGUAGCGGUGAAAUGCGUAGAUAUAAGGAAGAACACCAGUGGCGAAGGCGGAGGACUGGACGGCAACUGACGGUGAGGCGCGAAAGCGUGGGGAGCAAACAGGAUUAGAUACCCGAGUAAAC
RNAcentral lists this ribosomal RNA (451 nucleotides) under uncultured bacterium. RNAcentral describes it as "bacterial SSU rRNA". It matches the Rfam family "Bacterial small subunit ribosomal RNA", at positions 329 to 795 of the family's 1533-position model. The record is from RNAcentral.